RNAcentral lists this long non-coding RNA (261 nucleotides) under Nicotiana benthamiana. RNAcentral's name for it is "long non-coding RNA (NBEN_LNC034750)". The record is from RNAcentral. Lineage: Eukaryota; Viridiplantae; Streptophyta; Magnoliopsida; Solanales; Solanaceae.
GAUUUCCUGGGCAUGGCAACAGGCUGAGAGACAGGUAAGUCAGGAGGAGGAAUAUUAGGAUUAAAAGAAGGAGAAGCACUGGAAAGAGGUGAGGCAGGAGAAGAGAUAUCAUGAUUAGAAGAAGGAGAAUCACUGGAAGGAGGUAAGGUAAAAGUCUGUUCAAGAAUGUCAUCAGAGAAAGGAAUAGGUGGAGGAGGUGAAGAAGGUGGAGGUGCUGUUUUAAAAGGAAAAUGAGUUUCAUGGAAGACAACAUCUCUNNNN